CAAAAGCUUGGUCCUGACUUUAUUAUCAAUUUUGAUUGAAUUUACACAUGCAAGUAUCCGCGUCCCCGUGAGAAUGCCCUAAUUUUCAAAAACUGAAAAAAGGAGCAGGCAUCAGGCACGAUAACAAUCAGCCCAGUACGCCUUGUUAAGCCACACCCCCAAGGGAAACAGCAGUGAUAAACGUUAAGCAAUAAGUGAAAACUUGACUUACUUAAGAUCAGAAAGGAUUGGCCAAACUCGUGCCAGCCGCCGCGGUUAUACGAGAGAUCCAAAUUGACAAAACCCGGCACAAAGAGUGGUUAAUUGAAUAAUUCUAAGGCAGAACACCCUCGAAGCCGUUAUACGCACUUGAGCACAGGAAAAUCUUCCACGAAAGUGGCCUUAAAACAAAUGACCCUACGAAAGUUAGGACACAAACUGGGAUUAGAUACCCCACUAUGCCUGACCCUAAACAUUGGUGCACAGUUGCACUCGCCAGGGAACAACGAGCCCAGCUUAAAACCCAAAGGACUUGGCGGUGCUUUAGACCCACCUAGAGGAGCCUGUUCUAGAACCGAUACCCCCCGUUAAACCUCACCCCCUCUUGUUUAUCCCGCCUAUAUACCGCCGUCGUCAGCUUACCCUUCAAAGGUUUAAUAGUAAGCAGAAUUGGCUUACGCCAAAACGUCAGGCCGAGGUGUAGCGUACGAGGGGGGAAGAAAUGGGCUACAUUUACUACUUUAGUAAAAACGAAUAAUGCUAUGAAAUAAGUGUUUGAAGGUGGAUUUAGCAGUAAGAAGAAAAUAGAGUGUUCGUCUGAAAAAGGCCCUGAAGCGCGCACACACCGCCCGUCACUCUCCCCUAAUAGUCAAUAUAAUAAAUAAAAAGAAUUUUAAAAAUAAGGGGAGGCAAGUCGUAACAUGGUAAGUGUACCGGAAGGUGCACUUGGAAAAA
RNAcentral lists this non-coding RNA (933 nucleotides) under Schindleria praematura (Schindler's fish). Its description in RNAcentral is "12S ribosomal RNA". It matches the Rfam family "Bacterial small subunit ribosomal RNA". Lineage: Eukaryota; Metazoa; Chordata; Actinopteri; Gobiiformes; Schindleriidae. The record is from RNAcentral.